Oncorhynchus keta (chum salmon) is the source of this 2061-nucleotide long non-coding RNA. RefSeq lists it as uncharacterized. NCBI's taxonomy places the organism in Eukaryota, Metazoa, Chordata, Actinopteri, Salmoniformes, Salmonidae. The transcript is spliced from 3 exons. The record is from RefSeq and is a predicted model, not a curated record.
GGUGAAGUAGACAUACUGAUGGUUGAAGUAGACAUACUGAUGGUGAAGUAGACAUACUGAUGGUGAAGUAGACAUACUGAUGGUGAAGUAGACAUACUGAUGGUGAAGUAGCAUACUGAUGGUGAGGUAGACAUACUGAUGGGUGAAGUAGACAUACUGAUGGUGAAGUAGACAUACUGAUGGUGAAGUAGACAUACUGAUGGGUGAAGUAGACAUACUGAUGGUGAAGUAGACAUACUGAUGGUGAAGUAGACAUAGUGAUGGUGAAGUAGACAUAGUGAUGGUGAAGUAGACAUACUGAUGGGUGAAGUAGAAUACUGAUGGUGAGGUAGACAUACUGAUGGUGAAGUAGACAUACUGAUGGUGAAGUAGACAUAUUGAUGGUGAAGUAGCAUACUGAUGGUGAGGUAGACAUACUGAUGGGUGAAGUAGACAUACUGAUGGUGAAGUAGACAUACUGAUGGUGAAGUAGACAUACUGAUGGUGAAGUAGACAUACUGAUGGUGAAGUAGACAUACUGAUGGGUGAAGUAGACAUACUGAUGGUGAAGUAGACAUACUGAUGGUGAAGUAGACAUACUGAUGGUGAAGUAGACAUAGUGAUGGUGAAGUAGACAUACUGAUGGUGAAGUAGCAUACUGAUGGUGAAGUAGACAUACUGAUGGUGAAGUAGACAUACUGAUGGUGAGGUAGACAUACUGAUGGUGAAGUAGCAUACUGAUGGUGAAGUAGCAUACUGAUGGUGAGGUAGACAUACUGAUGGUGAGGUAGACAUACUGAUGGUGAGGUAGACAUACUGAUGGGUGAAGUAGACAUACUGAUGGGUGAAGUAGACAUACUGAUGGUGAGGUAGACAUACUGAUGGUGAGGUAGACAUACUGAUGGGUGAAGUAGACAUACUGAUGGUGAAGUAGACAUACUGAUGGGUGAAGUAGACAUACUGAUGGUGAGGUAGACAUACUGAUGCUGAAGUAGACAUAGUGAUGGUGAGGUAGACAUACUGAUGGGUGAAGUAGACAUACUGAUGGUGAAGUAGACAUACUGAUGGGUGAAGUAGACAUACUGAUGGUGAGGUAGACAUACUGAUGGUGAGGUAGACAUACUGAUGGGUGAAGUAGACAUACUGAUGGUGAAGUAGCAUACUGAUGGGUGAAGUAGACAUACUGAUGGUGAGGUAGACAUACUGAUGCUGAAGUAGACAUAGUGAUGGUGAGGUAGACAUACUGAUGGGUGAAGUAGACAUACUGAUGGUGAAGUAGACAUACUGAUGGGUGAAGUAGACAUACUGAUGGUGAGGUAGACAUACUGAUGGUGAGGUAGACAUACUGAUGGGUGAAGUAGACAUACUGAUGGUGAAGUAGCAUACUGAUGGGUGAAGUAGACAUACUGAUGGUGAGGUAGACAUACUGAUGCUGAAGUAGACAUAGUGAUGGUGAGGUAGACAUACUGAUGGGUGAAGUAGACAUACUGAUGGUGAAGUAGACAUACUGAUGGGUGAAGUAGACAUACUGAUGGUGAGGUAGACAUACUGAUGGUGAGGUAGACAUACUGAUGGGUGAAGUAGACAUACUGAUGGUGAAGUAGCAUACUGAUGGGUGAAGUAGACAUACUGAUGGUGAGGUAGACAUACUGAUGCUGAAGUAGACAUGGUGAUGGUGAGGUAGACAUAGUAAUGGUGAAGUAGACAUACUGAUGGUUGAAGUAGACAUACUGAUGGUGAAGUAGACAUACUGAUGGUGAAGUAGACAUACUGAUGGUUGAAGUAGACAUACUGAUGGUGAAGUAGACAUACUGAUGGUGAAGUAGACAUACUGAUGGGUGAAGUAGACAUACUAUAAUUGUUACGACUGAAAGUACUAUAUUUAGCUAUGUACAGUAACUUCUGUGUAAAAAAAAGUCCCAUAUGUGUAGAAUGUAAGUAAGUAAGAAAAAAAGAAAUAUUUUUGUCCUCUGACGACGGGUCAAUAAUAAAAUGUAAAAUUAAAGUCUUGUGGAGUUUCCAGGCUGUGUUUGUUGCUAUCGUAGUACAAUUCUCACGCCAGGUGUUUACGGUAGUGUUGCU